Molecule: ribosomal RNA, 579 nt
Filed under: uncultured fungus
Lineage: Eukaryota; Fungi
Description: eukaryotic LSU rRNA
Rfam family: 5.8S ribosomal RNA (bases 212-365)
Source: RNAcentral
GGAAGUAAAAGUCGUAACAAGGUCUCCGUUGGUGAACCAGCGGAGGGAUCAUUAGCGAGUUUUAAUACUCCCAAACCCACUGUGAACCUUUCAUGUUGCUUCGGCGGGCGGCCCCUCGGGAGGGGCCAGGCUGCCCCUCGCAGGGGUGCCCGCCAGAAGACCAACAAACUCUGUUUUUAAGUGGCAUUCUGAGAAACCAAAAAACUAUCAAAACUUUCAACAACGGAUCUCUUGGCUCUGGCAUCGAUGAAGAACGCAGCGAAAUGCGAUAAGUAAUGUGAAUUGCAGAAUUCCGUGAAUCAUCGAAUCUUUGAACGCACAUUGCGCCCGCCGGUAUUCCGGCGGGCAUGCCUGUCCGAGCGUCAUUUACACCCCUCAAGCUCAGCUUGGUGUUGGGACCCUACAGCGCAUGUAGGCCCCUAAAAGGAGUGGCGGGCUCGCCAGUACCCGAGCGCAGUAGUUUUCUUCUCGCUUAGGGCCGUCUGGCGGGUGUUUGCCGUAAAACCCCCAACUUUUUAGUUUGACCUCGAAUCAGGUAGGGAUACCCGCUGAACUUAAGCAUAUCAAUAAGCGGAGGAA